RNAcentral lists this ribosomal RNA (497 nucleotides) under uncultured bacterium. RNAcentral's name for it is "partial 16S ribosomal RNA". It matches the Rfam family "Bacterial small subunit ribosomal RNA", at positions 28 to 507 of the family's 1533-position model. The record is from RNAcentral.
GACGAACGCUGGCGGCGUGCCUAAUACAUGCAAGUUGAGCGCUGAAGGUUGGUACUUGUACCAACUGGAUGAGCAGCGAACGGGUGAGUAACGCGCGGGGAAUCUGCCUUUGAGCGGGGGACAACAUUUGGAAACGAAUGCUAAUACCGCAUAAAAACUUUAAACACAAGUUUUAAGUUUGAAAGAUGCAAUUGCAUCACUCAAAGAUGAUCCCGCGUUGUAUUAGCUAGUUGGUGAGGUAAAGGCUCACCAAGGCGAUGAUACAUAGCCGACCUGAGAGGGUGAUCGGCCACAUUGGGACUGAGACACGGCCCAAACUCCUACGGGAGGCAGCAGUAGGGAAUCUUCGGCAAUGGACGAAAGUCUGACCGAGCAACGCCGCGUGAGUGAAGAAGGUUUUCGGAUCGUAAAACUCUGUUGGUAGAGAAGAACGUUGGUGAGAGUGGAAAGCUCAUCAAGUGACGGUAACUACACAGAAAGGGACGGCUAACUACGUG